AUUGAACGCUGGCGGCAUGCCUUACACAUGCAAGUCGAACGGCAGCACGGGAGCAAUCCUGGUGGCGAGUGGCGAACGGGUGAGUAAUAUAUCGGAACGUGCCCAGUCGUGGGGAUAACGUAGCGAAAGCUACGCUAAUACCGCAUACGAUCUAUGGAUGAAAGCGGGGGAUCGCAAGACCUCGCGCGAUUGGAGCGGCCGAUAUCAGAUUAGGUAGUUGGUGAGGUAAAGGCUCACCAAGCCGACGAUCUGUAGCUGGUCUGAGAGGACGACCAGCCACACUGGGACUCGAGACACGGCCCAGACUCCUACGGAGGCAGCAGUGGGGAAUUUUGGACAAUGGGCGCAAGCCUGAUCUAGCAAUGCCGCGUGCAGGAUG
Molecule: ribosomal RNA, 379 nt
Filed under: uncultured bacterium
Lineage: Bacteria
Description: bacterial SSU rRNA
Rfam family: Bacterial small subunit ribosomal RNA
Source: RNAcentral